UAGGGGAUGUAGCAAUACAUCACCGGCGGACGGGUGCGUAACGCGUGGGAAUAUACCUAUUGGUUCGGAACAACUGAGGGAAACUUCAGCUAAUACCGGAUGAGCCCUAACGGGGAAAGAUUUCUCGCCAAUAGAUUAGCCCGCGUCCGAUUAGCUAGUUGGUGGGGUAAAAGCCUACCAAGGCGACGAUCGGUAGCUGUUCUGAGAGGAAGAUCAGCCACACUGGGACUGAGACACGGCCCAGACUCCUACGGGAGGCAGCAGUUGGGAAUCUUGGACAAUGGGGGAAACCCUGAUCCAGCCAUGCCGCGUGAGUGAUGAAGGCCUUCGGGUUGUAAAACUCUUUCGACGGGGACGAUAAUGACGGUACCCGUAGAAGAAGCUCCGGCUAACUUCGUG
Molecule: ribosomal RNA, 399 nt
Filed under: uncultured bacterium
Lineage: Bacteria
Description: bacterial SSU rRNA
Rfam family: Bacterial small subunit ribosomal RNA
Source: RNAcentral